GUGGGGAAUAUUGGACAAUGGGCGCAAGCCUGAUCCAGCCAUGCCGCGUGAGUGAUGAAGGCCUUAGGGUUGUAAAGCUCUUUCAGUGGGGACGAUAAUGACGGUACCCACAGAAGAAGCCCCGGCUAACUUCGUGCCAGCAGCCGCGGUAAUACGAAGGGGGCUAGCGUUGUUCGGAAUUACUGGGCGUAAAGCGCACGUAGGCGGGUAUUUAAGUCAGGGGUGAAAUCCCGGAGCUCAACUCCGGAACUGCCUUUGAUACUGGGUACCUAGAGUAUGGAAGAGGUAAGUGGAAUUCCGAGUGUAGAGGUGAAAUUCGUAGAUAUUCGGAGGAACACCAGUGGCGAAGGCGGCUUACUGGUCCAUUACUGACGCUGAGGUGCGAAAGCGUGGGGAGCAAACAGGAUUAGAAACCCCAGUAGUCC
This 425-nucleotide ribosomal RNA is filed under the name uncultured bacterium. RNAcentral describes it as "bacterial SSU rRNA". It matches the Rfam family "Bacterial small subunit ribosomal RNA", at positions 354 to 796 of the family's 1533-position model. The record is from RNAcentral.